This 448-nucleotide ribosomal RNA is filed under the name uncultured bacterium. RNAcentral describes it as "partial 16S ribosomal RNA". It matches the Rfam family "Bacterial small subunit ribosomal RNA", at positions 354 to 796 of the family's 1533-position model. The record is from RNAcentral.
GUGGGGAAUAUUCCGCAAUGGGCGCAAGCCUGACGGAGCAACGCCGCGUGAAUGAAGACGGUCUUCGGAUUGUAAAGUUCUGUCAUUAGGGACGAAGGACUCAUGUAAAUAAUAUGAGGAAUGACGGUACCUAAGGAGGAAGCUCCGGCUAACUACGUGCCAGCAGCCGCGGUAAUACGUAGGGAGCAAGCGUUGUCCGGAAUUACUGGGCGUAAAGGGCGCGUAGGCGGAUAAUUAAGUCAGAUGUGAAAUCUCCAGGCUUAACUUGGAGCGUGCAUUUGAAACUGGUUAUCUUGAGGGCAGGAGAGGAAAGUGGAAUUCCUAGUGUAGCGGUGAAAUGCGUAGAUAUUAGGAGGAACACCAGUGGCGAAGGCGACUUUCUGGACUGAACCUGACGCUGAGGCGCGAAAGCAUGGGGAGCGAACGGGAUUAGAUACCCCUGUAGUCC